This 481-nucleotide ribosomal RNA is filed under the name uncultured bacterium. Its description in RNAcentral is "partial 16S ribosomal RNA". It matches the Rfam family "Bacterial small subunit ribosomal RNA", at positions 28 to 507 of the family's 1533-position model. The record is from RNAcentral.
GAUGAACGCUGGCGGCGUGCUUAACACAUGCAAGUCGAACGAAGCACUUUAUUUGAUUUCCUUCGGGACUGAUUAUUUUGUGACUGAGUGGCGGACGGGUGAGUAACGCGUGGGUAACCUGCCUUGUACAGGGGGAUAACAGUUGGAAACGGCUGCUAGUACCGCAUAAGCGCACAGCAUCGCAUGAUGCAGUGUGAAAAACUCCGGUGGUAUAAGAUGGACCCGCGUUGGAUUAGCUAGUUGGUGAGGUAACGGCCCACCAAGGCGACGAUCCAUAGCCGACCUGAGAGGGUGACCGGCCACAUUGGGACUGAGACACGGCCCAAACUCCUACGGGAGGCAGCAGUGGGGAAUAUUGCACAAUGGGCGAAAGCCUGAUGCAGCGACGCCGCGUGAGCGAAGAAGUAUUUCGGUAUGUAAAGCUCUAUCAGCAGGGAAGAUAAUGACGGUACCUGACUAAGAAGCACCGGCUAAAUACGUG